RNAcentral lists this ribosomal RNA (479 nucleotides) under uncultured bacterium. RNAcentral's name for it is "partial 16S ribosomal RNA". It matches the Rfam family "Bacterial small subunit ribosomal RNA", at positions 33 to 507 of the family's 1533-position model. The record is from RNAcentral.
ACGCUGGCGGCAGGCCUAACACAUGCAAGUCGAGCGGAUGAAGGGAGCUUGCUCCUGGAUUCAGCGGCGGACGGGUGAGUAAUGCCUAGGAAUCUGCCUGGUAGUGGGGGAUAACGUCCGGAAACGGGCGCUAAUACCGCAUACGUCCUGAGGGAGAAAGUGGGGGAUCUUCGGACCUCACGCUAUCAGAUGAGCCUAGGUCGGAUUAGCUAGUUGGUGGGGUAAAGGCCUACCAAGGCGACGAUCCGUAACUGGUCUGAGAGGAUGAUCAGUCACACUGGAACUGAGACACGGUCCAGACUCCUACGGGAGGCAGCAGUGGGGAAUAUUGGACAAUGGGCGAAAGCCUGAUCCAGCCAUGCCGCGUGUGUGAAGAAGGUCUUCGGAUUGUAAAGCACUUUAAGUUGGGAGGAAGGGCAGUAAGUUAAUACCUUGCUGUUUUGACGUUACCAACAGAAUAAGCACCGGCUAACUUCGUG